GUGAGGAAUCUUCCACAAUGGGCGAAAGCCUGAUGGAGCAACGCCGCGUGCAGGAUGAAGGCCUUCGGGUCGUAAACUGCUUUUAUAAGUGAAGAAUAUGACGGUAACUUAUGAAUAAGCACCGGCUAACUACGUGCCAGCAGCCGCGGUCAUACGUAGGGUGCAAGCAUUAUCCGGAGUGACUGGGCGUAAAUAGUUGCGUAGGUGGUUUGUUAAGUAGGUAGUGAAAUCUGGCGGCUCAACAGUACAGGCUAGUACCUAAACUGGCAAACUCGAGAAUGGUAGAGGUAACUGGAAUUUCUUGUGUAGGAGUGAAAUCCGUAGAUAUAAGAAGGAACACCAAUGGCGUAGGCAGGUUACUGGACCAUUUCUGACACUGAGGCACGAAAGCGUGGGGAGCGAACGGGAUUAGAUACCCGAGUAGUCC
This 427-nucleotide ribosomal RNA is filed under the name uncultured bacterium. RNAcentral's name for it is "partial 16S ribosomal RNA". It matches the Rfam family "Bacterial small subunit ribosomal RNA", at positions 354 to 796 of the family's 1533-position model. The record is from RNAcentral.